GAAGCUGACCAGACAGUCGCCGCUUCGUCGUCGUCCUGAAAGGGAGACGGGCGGAGGGGAGGAAAGUCCGGGCUCCAUAGGGCAGGGUGCCAGGUAACGCCUGGGGGGCGCAAGCCUACGACCAGUGCAACAGAGAGCAAACCGCCGAUGGCCCGUAAGGGAUCAGGUAAGGGUGAAAGGGUGCGGUAAGAGCGCACCGCGCGGCUGGCAACAGUCCGUGGCACGGUAAACUCCACCCGGAGCAAGGCCAAAUAGGGGUUCACAUGGUACGGCCCGUACUGAACCCGGGUAGGCUGCUUGAGCCAGUGAGCGAUUGCUGGCCUAGAGGAAUGACUGUCCACGACAGAACCCGGCUUACCGGUCAGCUUCACCU
Molecule: RNase P RNA, 373 nt
Filed under: bacteria symbiont BFo2 of Frankliniella occidentalis
Lineage: Bacteria; Pseudomonadati; Pseudomonadota; Gammaproteobacteria; Enterobacterales
Description: Bacterial RNase P class A
Rfam family: Bacterial RNase P class A
About the family: Ribonuclease P (RNase P) is a ubiquitous endoribonuclease, found in archaea, bacteria and eukarya as well as chloroplasts and mitochondria. Its best characterised activity is the generation of mature 5'-ends of tRNAs by cleaving the 5'-leader elements of precursor-tRNAs.
Source: Rfam by way of RNAcentral